UGGGGAAUCUUGCACAAUGGGGGCAACCCUGAUGCAGCGACGCCGCGUGAGUGAUGAAGCCCCUCGGGGUGUAAAGCUCUUUCGGCAGGGACGAUAAUGACGGUACCUGAAGAAGAAGCUGCGGCUAACUACGUGCCAGCAGCCGCGGUAAUACGUAGGCAGCGAGCGUUGUUCGGAGUUACUGGGCGUAAAGAGUGCGUAGGCGGUGUUCCAAGUCUGUUGUGAAAUCUCCCGGCUCAACUGGGAGGGUGCGGCGGAAACUGGGACGCUGGAGUACGGGAGAGGUAAGCGGAAUUCCUGGUGUAGCGGUGAAAUGCGUAGAUAUCAGGAGGAACACCUGCGGUGUAGACGGCUUACUGGACCGUAACUGACGCUGAGGCACGAAAGCGUGGGUAGCAAACA
RNAcentral lists this ribosomal RNA (402 nucleotides) under uncultured Bryobacter sp. Its description in RNAcentral is "bacterial SSU rRNA". It matches the Rfam family "Bacterial small subunit ribosomal RNA", at positions 355 to 774 of the family's 1533-position model. The record is from RNAcentral. Lineage: Bacteria; Pseudomonadati; Acidobacteriota; Terriglobia; Bryobacterales; Bryobacteraceae.